GUCAGGAUGGCCGAGUGGUCUAAGGCGCUGCGUUUAGGUCGCAGUCCAGUUAUCUGGGCGUGGGUUCGAACCCCACUUCUGACA
Strigamia maritima is the source of this 84-nucleotide non-coding RNA. Lineage: Eukaryota; Metazoa; Arthropoda; Chilopoda; Geophilomorpha; Linotaeniidae. The record is from Rfam.